CCGUGGAGGAUAGGCACCGGAUAGCUCCGUGCCAGCSGCCGCGGUAAUCCUGAGGGUGCAAGCGUUACUCGGAAUCACUGGGCGUAAAGGGCGCGUAGGCGGAUUAUCAAGUCUCUUGUGAAAUCUAAUGGCUUAACCAUUAAACUGCUUGGGAAACUGAUAGUCUAGAGUGAGGGAGAGGCAGAUGGAAUUGGUGGUGUAGGGGUAAAAUCCGUAGAUAUCACCAAGAAUACCCAUUGCGAAGGCGAUCUGCUGGAACUCAACUGACGCUAAGGCGCGAAAGCGUGGGGAGCAAACAGGAUUAGAUACCCUGGUAGUCCACGCCCUAAACGAUGUACACUAGUUGUUGGGGUGCUAGUCAUCUCAGUAAUGCAGCUAACGCAUUAAGUGUACCGCCUGGGGAGUACGGUCGCAAGAUUAAAACUCAAAGGAAUAGACGGGGACCCGCACAAGCGGUGGAGCAUGUGGUUUAAUUCGAAGAUACGCGAAGAACCUUACCUGGGCUUGAUAUCCUAAGAACCUUUUAGAGAUAAGAGGGUGCUAGCUUGCUAGAACUUAGAGACAGGUGCUGCACGGCUGUCGUCAGCUCGUGUCGUGAGAUGUUGGGUUAAGUCCCGCAACGAGCGCAACCCACGUAUUUAGUUGCUAACGGUUCGGCCGAGCACUCUAAAUAGACUGCCUUCGUAAGGAGGAGGAAGGUGUGGACGACGUCAAGUCAUCAUGGCCCUUAUGCCCAGGGCGACACACGUGCUACAAUGA
This 759-nucleotide ribosomal RNA is filed under the name Campylobacter jejuni. Its description in RNAcentral is "bacterial SSU rRNA". The record is from RNAcentral. Lineage: Bacteria; Pseudomonadati; Campylobacterota; Epsilonproteobacteria; Campylobacterales; Campylobacteraceae.